This is a non-coding RNA of Glossina palpalis gambiensis, 87 nucleotides long. The record is from Rfam. NCBI's taxonomy places the organism in Eukaryota, Metazoa, Arthropoda, Insecta, Diptera, Glossinidae.
GGUGAGAUGUCCGAGUGGUUUAAGGAGCAGGCCUGGAAAGCAUGUAUACGAUUAUACGUAUCGAGGGUUCGAAUCCCUCUCUCACCG